This is a regulatory RNA element of Streptomyces sparsogenes DSM 40356, 115 nucleotides long. It matches the Rfam family "TPP riboswitch aptamer (THI element)". From Rfam's summary of the family: Vitamin B(1) in its active form thiamin pyrophosphate (TPP) is an essential coenzyme that is synthesised by coupling of pyrimidine and thiazole moieties in bacteria. The record is from Rfam. Lineage: Bacteria; Bacillati; Actinomycetota; Actinomycetes; Kitasatosporales; Streptomycetaceae.
CGAAGCACUCGCGGGAGCCCGGACGCACCGGGCUGAGAGGGAGGCUGGAGCGGCCUCCGACCGUACGAACCUGAUCCGGGUCAUGCCGGCGAAGGGAGGGGCGUCACGCCCAUGC